UAACGCGUGGUCAACCUACCGUUGAGUGGGGGAUAACUAGCCGAAAGGUUAGCUAAUACCGCAUACGUCUCCGAGAGGCAUCUCUUGGCGAUAAAAGGAGCAAUCCGCUCGAUGACGGGACCGCGUCCCAUUAGCUAGAUGGUGGGGUAAUGGCCUACCAUGGCUCCGAUGGGUAGCUGGUUUGAGAGAGCGACCAGCCACACUGGGACUGAGAAACGGCCCAG
Molecule: ribosomal RNA, 224 nt
Filed under: uncultured bacterium
Lineage: Bacteria
Description: partial 16S ribosomal RNA
Rfam family: Bacterial small subunit ribosomal RNA
Source: RNAcentral